AACGAGGCCGACCUGCGGCUGAGUUACCUGCGGAAGGAUCAUUAUUGAUUUUUAAAGGAUGUGCUGGCUCUUCUGGAGCAACGUGCACUCCUAACAAAAAAAAAUCCAAUAUCCACCUGUGCACCUUUAGUAGGCAGGAGAAGACCUUACUCAAGGGCUUUUUUUCUUGUCUAUGUUUUCUAUCAUAAACCCAUGAUCCAUUUGAAUGCUUUUACAACAAAUAAUAUUUUGUAACACAAC
Molecule: unclassified non-coding RNA, 240 nt
Filed under: soil metagenome
Description: partial contains 5.8S ribosomal RNA, internal transcribed spacer 2, and large subunit ribosomal RNA
Source: RNAcentral